Molecule: long non-coding RNA, 202 nt
Filed under: Elaeis guineensis (African oil palm)
Lineage: Eukaryota; Viridiplantae; Streptophyta; Magnoliopsida; Arecales; Arecaceae
Description: long non-coding RNA (EGUI_LNC066711)
Source: RNAcentral
ACCUUGGUUCCUUUGCUUGAGCAAGUGCUCCAGUAUUAUCACAGUAAAGUGGUAUUGGAUUCUUAAUCUCAGGAACAAUAUCCAAUUUUGUGAUGAACUUCUUCAUCUAGACAACUUCUUUGGUAGCUUCACUUACAGCUAUGUACUCUGCUUUGAUAGUUGAGUCAGCUACAAUCUACUGCUUAAAACUUUUCUAACUAAU